UUUCGUCACUUUCCAUCCCAAGGCCCCGAAUUCGUCCUCCGCACGCCGAUCUAUUCCUCUCCCGAUGCCUCUGCUCCCCACCUCCAUCGUCAUCGCGACCACUAAGGCCAUCGCUAUCUGUCCCCUCUCGCAUUUGUUCUUCCUCCGAUCGAUGCAUCCGCUCGUGGGGGCGCUGCUGGUGGGGGCCAGGGAGCGUUGGUGGUGGCCGUGCUAGGGCCCGACGGCGCGUCAUGCGGCGGCGUGGGAGGGCGCGCUAGAACUGGCCGUGUCGGUAGCGUCGUUCGCGCCGGAGACCAUGUUCGUGUGGGUGCUGGGCAGCGGCGGGUGCGCGGCCGGGUCGGUGCGCGUGCCGCUCGACGGCGGCGGGGACGAUACGAAUCUACUCCGCCUCCAGACAUCACUCCCUCCGCUCCUGCGGUCAUAUCUGAAGAUUUACCUACUAUUAUUUCUGAUGUUUCAUUCCCCAAGUCUAUGAUGCCUGAAACUUUAAAUGUUCUGUUUAGUCAUACUGUGGAUCAUGGCGAUUCAUGGAGAUCUUGUUGUGCCAUUUUCUUUUGCUGGCAUCUCAAGGUGAUAUUUUAGUGGCCACUUAAUUUAUAUAUUUUUCCAGUAUUGAUAUGCCAAAAAAAGCCUCAAUGGAAUGAAAGCUCUACGUCUUUUGUUGUAUUUUUGUAACAUAAGUUUAACAAUUAUAAUUUGCUAUGGGGCAGUAGGAGCCACUCAUUCUCCUCUUUUGUGAAUUUUAAGGUACACAUUGGACUAUCAUGUGUAUUUUGUUUGUUUUGGUUUCUUCUUAUGAUUUCUAUUUUGAUAUUCAUUCUCCUCUUUUGUGAAUUUUAAGGUACACAUUGGACUAUCAUGUGUAUUUCGUUUGUUUUGGUUUCUUCUUAUGAUUUCUAUUUUGAUAUGAAUAUUGAUGUUUAAACUCACAAGUAUCAUAUCCAAUUAUCCACUAUGUAUUGCAGAUAGCAAUAUUGAAUGGCUUUAGUAACAUUUCCCUUUUCAAGGCAUAAUGUCCGUCCUGGUACUUGCACCGGACAUAAACUAUUGUAAAUAUAGUAAAAUCUUAUAUUUCUAUUGUGGGAUUUCACUCUUUGGUGUGUGACAGGCUGGCGGUUGUGUUUGCUGUCUCCAGUGUUUAGGUGGAAACUACAUAAUCAUAUUUGGUAACUUUGGGGAGAAGUUGGGAUUUUUGUUGGUAUGCAGGUCAGAUACAACACUAACCAAUGUGCAUGUAUUGCUCAAAUAUUUCACUGGGCCUAUUACAUUACUGUACUUAGUAUAACACAUGCUCUGGCACUGAUCGUACAACUUUGCAUGAAUACUCCAGUAGGUCGACCCCUCUAAUUUAUGCCAUGAAUGUAAAUAAGUUAUACUAUUAAACUGUCUGGCCUUAGUCUUUUAUGCAUUAAUAUUAAUUAUUAACUAGGAAUGAGAUGUUAUGAGGUACCGGACAUAAACAAUUGUAAAUAUAGUAAAAUCUUUUUUUCUCUAUUGAGGGAUUUCACUCAUUGUUGUGUGACAGACUGAGAAUUGUGCUUGCUAUCUCCAAUGUUCAGGUGGAGACUACAGAAUCAUAUUUGCUAACUGUGUGGGAAAGCUGGGAUUUUUGUUGGUAUGCAUGUCAGAUACAAGACUAACCAAUGUGCAUGUAUUGCUCAAAUAUUUCAGUGGUCCUAUUACAUUACUGUAUUUACUAAAAACAUGCUCGGGCUCUGAUCGUACAACUUUGCACUAAUACUCCGGUAGGUCGGCCCUUCUAAUUUAUUCCUGAAUGUAAAUAAAUUCUAUUAAAUUGUCGGGCCUUAUUUUUUGUGCAUUAAUUAUUGACUUUUUAUUUUUCCAGACAAAUGUGGCCCUGCUUGAUCUUAGGUUAAUAAUUUUAUAUUGCUGACGGAUUAAUUCAUAUAGCUCUUUAACUUUUGGAAGAGAUAACUCAGAUGACUUAUGAGAAGAUGCUCUGAUAGAUGUGCAAUGUACCAAAAAAGAGUUCUUUUGGCAACAUAAUUUCAUGUAAUUUGUGCGGAGCUACCUUGAAAGAGCAAUAAAACUCUAGAAGGAGCAAGGACCACCACAUGGUGAACACUUGCACCUGUGCAUGAAGUGUGCCAGCCGUUGAAUGGCGUGGCACAUCAAGUCAGGGAAACAUUACUUUCUUCACUGGUCUCCAAUAUGUGCUUUUGCUUUCUCCCUCUUCCUUAUUUAUUAGAGCUUUUAUCAAUAUAUUUAAGAAAAGGCUCUACGCCUUUUCAAUCAGCUAUUUGUCAAAGUGGAAUUUUGUGAGUUUAUGGAUGAGAAUUAACAAAAUAGUUCUUCCAUAUUUGUUACGUAUACAUGCAUAUAACAUGUAUCAUAUUUGUCGAAGGUGCCAUGGGAGCUAGCUUAUAUUUCAAAAAUACCAGUACAUCGUGUUCGUCCCUGAAUAUAUUGUUCGGUUUCCUUACUGUUCUCCUAUAAAUGGUUCAGUUUCCUUGCUGCAUUUUUUCCAGAUCUGGCCUAUUUUUUCAGAUGGCUUACCAUCUUUAUACGGCUUCAAUGCUGUGAAAAAACUCGCAUGAGAUUACAGUUGCAAUCUAUUAUUUGUCUAAUGUUUACACACAGGCGAAGUCACACGAGGCCAUCGCGGAUGUGUCCCAUGUUAUGUAUAUUACCACCGUUCCUAAGCCGCAGAUACUUCUCCCAGGUUAUCGUUGAAACAACGAUAAUGCUAGAGCCUUGAGAAUUGUGAUGGAGGGGGUGGAGGAGCAGGGAGAAUGAUGACGUGUUGUCUUUUGUGCAAGAGGAGAGGGUGAUUAAGGAGAGGCACACACUAUCUUUCUUGCAAGAGGAGAAGGUGAAUAAUGAGAGACACGAGGAAUGAAGCGGUAGAGGGAAUCAGUAUUUGUCGCUAUGAAUGGAAACCAUGUGCAUCCCUGCUGGACACAUAAUUUUUCUUGCUACUAUACUAAUCAAGUCACAUUUUGUUCAAUUUGCUACCAUGUAGUUGUGUACAAGGAUGUACCUGGCUGGGCAAA
Molecule: long non-coding RNA, 3014 nt
Organism: Aegilops tauschii subsp. strangulata
Lineage: Eukaryota; Viridiplantae; Streptophyta; Magnoliopsida; Poales; Poaceae
Source: RefSeq, a predicted model, not a curated record